Gossypium arboreum is the source of this 107-nucleotide small nucleolar RNA. It matches the Rfam family "Plant small nucleolar RNA R71". Rfam says of the family: R71 is a member of the C/D box family of snoRNAs containing the C (UGAUGA) and D (CUGA) box motifs. Multiple nearly identical copies of this snoRNA have been identified in Arabidopsis, and it is thought to function as a 2'-O-ribose methylation guide for 18S ribosomal RNA. The record is from Rfam. Lineage: Eukaryota; Viridiplantae; Streptophyta; Magnoliopsida; Malvales; Malvaceae.
AUUCCAUGAUGAGGGCACUUCUGUAAUAAUCCUUUGUACCUUUCCCAUGCCUCUUAUAAGGACUCAUCAUCUAUUUGUUGGAAAACAAAGACAUCAUUCCUCAACUU